GCUGGCGGCGUGCUUAACACAUGCAAGUCGAACGAUGAAGACCGUGCUUGCACGGUUGGAUUAGUGGCGAACGGGUGAGUAUCACGUGAGUAACCUUCCCUUAACUCUGGGAUAAGCCCGGGAAACUGGGUCUAAUACCGGAUACGACCAGUCCUCGCAUGGGGUGCUGGUGGAAAGAUUUAUCGGUUUUGGAUGGACUCGCGGCCUAUCAGCUUGUUGGUGAGGUAAAGGCUCACCAAGGCGAUGACGGGUAGCCGGCCUGAGAGGGUGACCGGCCACACUGGGACUGAGACACGGCCCAGACUCCUACGGGAGGCAGCAGUGGGGAAUAUUGCACAAUGGGCGAAAGCCUGAUGCAGCGACGCCGCGUGCGGGAUGACGGCCUUCGGGUUGUAAACCGCUUUCAGCAGGGAAGAAGCGAAAGUGACGGUACCUGCAGAAGAAGCGCCGGCUAACUACGUGCCAGCAGCCGCGGUAAUACGUAGGGCGCGAGCGUUAUCCGGAAUUAUUGGGCGUAAAGAGCUCGUAGGCGGUUUGUCACGUCUGCUGUGAAAGCCCGGGGCUCAACCCCGGGUGUGCAGUGGGUACGGGCAGACUAGAGUGCAGUAGGGGAGACUGGAAUUCCUGGUGUAGCGGUGAAAUGCGCAGAUAUCAGGAGGAACACCGAUGGCGAAGGCAGGUCUCUGGGCUGUUACUGACGCUGAGGAGCGAAAGCAUGGGGAGCGAACAGGAUUAGAUACCCUGGUAGUC
RNAcentral lists this ribosomal RNA (750 nucleotides) under Nesterenkonia sp. YIM 90714. RNAcentral describes it as "bacterial SSU rRNA". It matches the Rfam family "Bacterial small subunit ribosomal RNA", at positions 35 to 795 of the family's 1533-position model. Lineage: Bacteria; Bacillati; Actinomycetota; Actinomycetes; Micrococcales; Micrococcaceae. The record is from RNAcentral.